This 87-nucleotide transfer RNA is filed under the name Bacillota bacterium. RNAcentral describes it as "tRNA-Leu". It matches the Rfam family "tRNA". From Rfam's summary of the family: Transfer RNA (tRNA) molecules are approximately 80 nucleotides in length. Their secondary structure includes four short double-helical elements and three loops (D, anti-codon, and T loops). The record is from RNAcentral. Lineage: Bacteria; Bacillati; Bacillota.
GCCGGGGUGGCGGAACAGGCAGACGCAAGGGACUUAAAAUCCCUCGGGAGCAAUCCCGUACCGGUUCGAUUCCGGUCUCCGGCACCA